Molecule: ribosomal RNA, 115 nt
Organism: Ochotona princeps (American pika)
Lineage: Eukaryota; Metazoa; Chordata; Mammalia; Lagomorpha; Ochotonidae
Source: Ensembl
GUCUAUGGCCAUACCACCCUGAACGCGCCCAAUCUCGUCUGAUCUCAGAAGCUAAGCAGGGUCGGGCCUGGUUAGUACUUGGAUGGGAGAAUUAGAGAGCAACAGGACAGAAACU